Molecule: long non-coding RNA, 335 nt
Filed under: Androctonus crassicauda
Lineage: Eukaryota; Metazoa; Arthropoda; Arachnida; Scorpiones; Buthidae
Source: RNAcentral
GGCCGCCGUUGACGGGCUUAUUAGCCACAAACUUUUUCUCUGGGAAUGGAAGCAUAGAAGGGUGCAAGCGCCAUCUUGUCCUGGGCUCUUUGCCUGUGUCAAAGUGCAUAAACGGUCCUAUAGGGUGGGGCUGAUGGUGGAGAGGAGAAUCGUGCCGGCGUAUACGCUUGGGAGGGCAGUGGCGGGCUGGUGCAUGAAAUUAUUGCAGCAGAAUGGCCGUUCUAUUGGUUCCACCGCGGAGGCAUUGAGUGGGUUGAGCGAGGUAGUGUGGCAGCCGCAUGACUUGGUGGCCGUAUGUGAUUUCGAUGGUCUGUGCCCUGCAUUGGGACUGGGGC